UACAGAGGGGGCGAGCGUUAUUCGGAAUUAUUGGGCGUAAAGGGCGCGUAGGCGGCCGUGUAAGUCUUGGGUGAAAUCCCUCAGCUCAACUGAGGAACUGCCUCGGAUACUGCAUGGCUUGAGGCCGGGAGAGGGUAGUGGAAUUCCCAGUGUAGCGGUGAAAUGCGUAGAUAUUGGGAGGAACACCGGUGGCGAAGGCGGCUACCUGGACCGGUUCUGACGCUGAUGCGCGAAAGCGUGGGGAGCAAACAGG
Molecule: ribosomal RNA, 253 nt
Filed under: uncultured bacterium
Lineage: Bacteria
Description: partial 16S ribosomal RNA
Rfam family: Bacterial small subunit ribosomal RNA
Source: RNAcentral